AGAGCCGUAACACAGGUGCUGCAUGGCUGUCGGUCAGCUCGUGUCGUGAGAUGUUGGGUUAAGUCCGCAACGAGCGCAACCCUUGUCAUUAGUUGCUACAUUCAGUUGGGCACUCUAAUGAGACUGCCGGUGACAAGCCGGAGGAAGUGGGGAUGACGUCAAGUCCUCAUGGCCCUUAUAGGUGGGGCUACACACGUCAUACAAUGGCUGGUACAAAGGGUUGCCAACCGCGAGGGGGAGCCAAUCCCAUAAAGCCAGUCGUAGUCCGGAUCGGAGGCUGCAACCCGCCUCCGUGAAGUCGGAGUUGCUAGUAAUCGCGGAUCAGCAUGCCGCGGUGAAUACGUUCCCGGGCCUU
This 355-nucleotide ribosomal RNA is filed under the name uncultured Delftia sp. Its description in RNAcentral is "bacterial SSU rRNA". It matches the Rfam family "Bacterial small subunit ribosomal RNA", at positions 1023 to 1382 of the family's 1533-position model. Lineage: Bacteria; Pseudomonadati; Pseudomonadota; Betaproteobacteria; Burkholderiales; Comamonadaceae. The record is from RNAcentral.